RNAcentral lists this ribosomal RNA (406 nucleotides) under uncultured bacterium. RNAcentral describes it as "partial 16S ribosomal RNA". It matches the Rfam family "Bacterial small subunit ribosomal RNA", at positions 30 to 526 of the family's 1533-position model. The record is from RNAcentral.
AUUGAACGCUGGCGGCAGGCCUAACACAUGCAAGUCGAACGAGCGGCGGACGGGUGAGUAAUGUCUGGGAAACUGCCUGAUGGGGGGGGAUAACUACUGGACACGGUAGCUAAUACCGCAUACCAUCGGAUGUGCCCAGAUGGGAUUAGCUAGUAGGUGGGGUAACGGCUCACCAAGGCGACGAUCCCUAGCUGGUCUUAGAGGAUGACCAGCCACACUGGAACUGAGACACGGUCCAGACUCCUACGUGAGGCAGCAGUUGUGAAUAUUGCACAAUGGGCGCAAGCCUGAUGCAGCCAUGCCGCGUGUAUGAAGAAGGCCUUCGGGUUGUAAAGUACUUUCAGCGAGGAGGCGUUACUCGCAGAAGAAGCACCGGCUAACUCCGUGCCAGCAGCCGCGGUAAUUC